Molecule: non-coding RNA, 48 nt
Filed under: Schistosoma margrebowiei
Lineage: Eukaryota; Metazoa; Platyhelminthes; Trematoda; Strigeidida; Schistosomatidae
Source: RNAcentral
AUCCAGCUGACGAGUUUCAAAUAAGACGAAAUGCGCAUCGCACUGGAU